GAUCAUGGCUCAGGAUGAACGCUGGCGGCGUGCCUAACACAUGCAAGUCGAACGAAGCGCAUACGACAGAACUCUUCGGAGGGAAGAUGUAUGUGACUGAGUGGCGGACGGGUGAGUAACGCGUGGGUAACCUGCCCUAUACAGGGGGACAACAGUUGGAAACGACUGCUAAUACCGCAUAAGCGCACAGUACCGCAUGGUACAGAGCGAAAAACUCCGGUGGUAUAGGAUGGGCCCGCG
Molecule: ribosomal RNA, 240 nt
Filed under: uncultured bacterium
Lineage: Bacteria
Description: partial 16S ribosomal RNA
Rfam family: Bacterial small subunit ribosomal RNA
Source: RNAcentral